CCUGCAGCUUCCCAGAGUAUGUUUGGAAAACAGACCAAUGUUAUCAGCCCAGAGGCCGCCUUGUACUUCACUGCCCAUGGACAGUGUCAUUUUGUGGGCUUAAAAGCAUUAAUUGAAAGCCUUCACCUCCUGCCUCCCUCUACCAGCGAUCAGCAGAGGCUGCUCUGUAGCUGUGUGCUGGGGCAAAGGGCUGACCCCAUUGCCCCCGCCUGCAGCACAGCCCUGCUCCCUGCCCUGCUGCCUUCCCUCUGCCACAAGUACCAAUUUUGCUCUUUGUGCCUGACAAGGAGGGUUUAAGCUGCCAGUGCUGGUUCUUUUUUUGGGCUCUGUUUGUUCUUGCUGUUUUUAAAGAAAUCUGUUUGCCUUCUUCUGAGCUGCUUUCUUCACCGUCUGUCACUGCUCAGGCACUUAAUCAAUGCUCAGAGCUUUCUUACUGCUGCUGCCUCCAUCUCCCUCCCUGCUCUCAUCCCAUCCCUGGGGGACGUCUCUCAUCUGCAGCUCCUCCAGAACCCCAAAGCAUGGGGCCUUACUUACCCUUAAUUUAAAAUAUUUUGAAUAUUUCUGUGGUUUCCACCUGCUCCCAGGUGUGACCACCUUGUGCUCCAGAGCCCUUUGGUUGUGGUGAAAUGUCGACGAUCCUGAAAUGGUUUGGACGGGAAGAUAAGGAGAGAGAGGAGAAGGAAGAGGAGAAGAAGCAGGAGGCAGAGGAGGAAAAGGACGAGGGAGUUGGGGACGGUGACAACAGGAGCAGCAGCAGCACAGAGGAGCCCCAGGACCAGGGCCGUGCUGAGGAUGUUGAGAAGGAAGCCCAGGAGUAGACUUGCUGGGCACGCCGAGGAGGUGGGGAUGCUGGAAGGGGCUGGCCACUGGUAGCCAAAUAAAAGCAUUUGGACCCCAAAGAGAGAUGCUGUUUAUUCAUCUCAGCAAGCUGUCCGUCCUCAAAACAGCUAUGAAAAG
Gallus gallus (chicken) is the source of this 957-nucleotide long non-coding RNA. The record is from Ensembl. NCBI's taxonomy places the organism in Eukaryota, Metazoa, Chordata, Aves, Galliformes, Phasianidae.